AAACAAUUCAGUAAAAAUUUGAGGAAAAUUUACAAGAACUCUUGAAGUGUGGUGUACUUUAUGCAAUCAUUGUCUUCCUUUUACAUUACAGCUUUUUUGUGUGUGUGACAGGGUCUGCUGUCACCCAGUCUGGAGAGCAGUGGUGCCAUCUCAGCUCACUGAAACCUCUGCCUCCUGGUCUCAAGUGAUCCUCCCACCUCAGCCUCCUGAGUAGGCGGGACCACAGGCUUUCACUGCCAUCCCCGGCUAAAUUUUUAUAUUUUUUGUGGAGAUGGGAUUUCACCAUGUUAGCUCUGCUGGUCUCGAACUCCUGAGCUCAGGUGAUCUGCCUUCCUUGGCCUCCCAAAGUGCUGGGAUUACAGGCGUG
RNAcentral lists this long non-coding RNA (367 nucleotides) under Homo sapiens (human). RNAcentral's name for it is "HSALNT0209172". Lineage: Eukaryota; Metazoa; Chordata; Mammalia; Primates; Hominidae. The record is from RNAcentral.